UACGAAGGGUGCAAACGUUGCUCGGAAUCAUUGGGCGUAAAGCGCACGUAGGCGGCUUCGCAAGUCGGAUGUGAAAUCCCUCGGCUCAACCGAGGACGUGCAUACGAAACUGCGGAGCUUGAGUGCUGAAGAGGAUCGCGGAAUUCCCGGUGUAGAGGUGAAAUUCGUAGAUAUCGGGAGGAACACCAGUGGCGAAGGCGGACGAUCUGGCAGACGACUGACGCUGAGGUGCGAAAGCGUGGGGAGCAAACAGGG
This 255-nucleotide ribosomal RNA is filed under the name uncultured bacterium. RNAcentral's name for it is "partial 16S ribosomal RNA". It matches the Rfam family "Bacterial small subunit ribosomal RNA", at positions 524 to 777 of the family's 1533-position model. The record is from RNAcentral.